RNAcentral lists this ribosomal RNA (467 nucleotides) under uncultured bacterium. RNAcentral describes it as "partial 16S ribosomal RNA". It matches the Rfam family "Bacterial small subunit ribosomal RNA", at positions 28 to 507 of the family's 1533-position model. The record is from RNAcentral.
GAUGAACGCUGGCGGCGUGCUUAACACAUGCAAGUCGAACGGAAAGGCCCAAGCUUGCUUGGGUACUCGAGUGGCGAACGGGUGAGUAACACGUGGGUGAUCUGCCCUGCACUUCGGGAUAAGCCUGGGACACUGGGUCUAAUACCGGCUAGGACCACUUCUUGGUUGUUGUGGUGGAAAGUUUUUUCUGUGUGGGAUGAGCUCGCGGCCUAUCAGCUUGUUGGUGGGGUAAUGGCCUACCAAGGCGUCGACGGGUAGCCGGCCUGAGAGGGUGUACGGCCACAGUGGGACUGAGAUACGGCCCAGACUCCGACGGGAGGCAGCAGUGGGGAAUAUUGCACAAUGGGCGCGAGCCUGAUGCAGCGACGCCGCGUGGGGGAUGACGGCCUUCGGGUUGUAAACUCAUUUCGCUAGGGACGAAGCGUUUUGUGACGGUACCUGGAGAAGAAGCACCGGCUAACUACGUG